AAUCGCCUGCUUUGUGCGCCUAGCUGAUGUAGUCCUUGAGCCGAUAAAUUUUAUCUCUGGGAGUUCUUGUUAAUUAAUGGUGUGCAAGUCCGGCUCGUAUCGGAAAGCCUGAUUUGAUUACGGAAUUCCCCCCUGAACCUCCGGGUUCAUGGGCGAGACCAGCAAACGGCAAAGCGGGUGAUGG
RNAcentral lists this non-coding RNA (184 nucleotides) under Aliikangiella coralliicola. RNAcentral's name for it is "6S / SsrS RNA". It matches the Rfam family "6S / SsrS RNA". From Rfam's summary of the family: E. coli 6S RNA was the first non coding RNA to be sequenced, but its function was unknown until recently. It consists of 184 nucleotides that fold into an extended hairpin structure with a large single-stranded internal bulge. The record is from Rfam by way of RNAcentral. Lineage: Bacteria; Pseudomonadati; Pseudomonadota; Gammaproteobacteria; Oceanospirillales; Pleioneaceae.